CGCCUUUUGACAUAUGUUUAUAAAAGGUCCUGCCUGCCCAGUGACUCUGUUUAACGGCCGCGGUAUUAUGACCGUGCAAAGGUAGCGUAAUCACUUGUCUUUUAAAUAAAGACUAGUAUGAACGGCAACACGAGGACCCAACUGUCUCACUAAAUUAGUCAGUGAAAUUUAUUUUUCCGUGCAAAAGCGGAAAUACUUAUAUAAGACGAGAAGACCCUGUGGAGCUUUAAAUUUAAACUAACACUUAAUAGUAUUAUAGCAUAAAAUUUUAGGUUGGGGCGACCAUGAGGAAAAACAAACCCUCAAGACAUAACUAGAGAGACAUCUCCAACAAAUAGUAAUACUAAUACAUUGACCCAAUAAUUGAUCAACGAACCAAGUUACCCCAGGGAUAACAGCGCAAUCCACUCAUAGAGCCCAUAUCAACGAGCGGGUUUACGACCUCGAUGUUGGAUCAGGACUACCCAGUGGCGCAGCAACUACUAAAGGUUCGUUUGUUCAACGAUUAAAGUCCU
This 515-nucleotide ribosomal RNA is filed under the name Oedipina parvipes. Its description in RNAcentral is "partial 16S ribosomal RNA". It matches the Rfam family "Bacterial large subunit ribosomal RNA", at positions 1817 to 2597 of the family's 2925-position model. Lineage: Eukaryota; Metazoa; Chordata; Amphibia; Caudata; Plethodontidae. The record is from RNAcentral.